GGAGUGCAAUCACCUGCUGGCAUAAUCCCUGGACUCUUCUUAAAGGAAUUCUAAAAAGGGAAACUCAGGAAUGCCUACCUGACUGUCCAGAGAACUGCCAUCCAGAGGAGCAUCCUACAGCAGCACAAGCAUUUCAUCUUCUGGAUUUGUGGAGACAUGUGGGAUUUGUUCAUGCUGAAGGCAGGAGGAAGUCAAGGGAGAAAAAAAGAAUUCUGGGAGAUUUUAAAAACAAAAAUGAUUCUCACUAGGAAACUUGGUAAAACCGAAGAUCCAAAGUGAAACAUCAGGAAACAUCACCAAAAUGAAGCCCGUUGGAUGUUUGCAGCUGUUUCUUUAGUCCUGAUUAACAGGGAUUUUCUGAGAAGAGCUGCACAAGUGCAGUCCCC
This 386-nucleotide long non-coding RNA is filed under the name Gallus gallus (chicken). Its description in RNAcentral is "long non-coding RNA NONGGAT008770". Lineage: Eukaryota; Metazoa; Chordata; Aves; Galliformes; Phasianidae. The record is from RNAcentral.